RNAcentral lists this unclassified non-coding RNA (1514 nucleotides) under uncultured fungus. Its description in RNAcentral is "sequence contains 18S rRNA gene, ITS1, 5.8S rRNA gene, ITS2, 28S rRNA gene". The stretch from base 677 to 1514 matches the Rfam family "Eukaryotic large subunit ribosomal RNA", at positions 1 to 961 of the family's 3401-position model. Lineage: Eukaryota; Fungi. The record is from RNAcentral.
GGAAGGAUCAUUAGAACAAAGAUAAACUAUGCGUCUGUCUGCUCGCGUAGCGAGUAGGCAGAUGCAUAUACUGCAGUGUGUGAUAUGCGAUAGCAUAUCGCAUGCUACAGACGACACGAGGACGCAUUUUGCCGAGUGUUUAUCUGAUGCAGCUCUGCUGCGUCAGUAUGAAUGCUAUAAUAAUAUUUAUAUUAUAGCAUUCAUACAGCAGCAUCUUACUGGAUGCUAGUCCCAGCAAUACCGCUUUGCGCUAUUGCUGGGCAAACUAGCACUCUCAUGCAGUACAUCUUCCAGCUAACGCUGAAAGAAGUACUGCAUGAGAGUGCACACACAAUAAUGUUGACAACAACCACAAAAUAUCAACCUACAACAAUGGAUCUCUUGGCUCUUGCAGCGAUGAAGAACGCGGCGAACUGCGAAAAGUAAUGUGACCUGCACCCUUUGAGAAACAUCCAAUUUUUGAACGCAACUUGCACCAGCCUGCUGGUAUACUUGUUUGAGUAUCUAUUGUUUUGUUACUUGAGCAUUCUGCACACAGAUGCUUUAAAGAGUGCUACAACAGUGCGGGAUAAUUCUUUAGCACGGUAUUAGUGAUAAGUUUAGUAACUCUUUAUUGUGAAAACAAUAAUGUGAUACUACUACAUCAUACAGAGAGACUACGUCCCUCUGUAGUAAUUGAUCUCAAAUCAAGCAAGGAUACCUGCUGAAUUUAAGCAUAUUAAUAAGCAGAGGAAAAGAAACUAACCAGGAUUCCCAUAGUAGCGGCGAGCGAAGUGGGAAGAGCUCAAAUUUAAAAUCUGGCAUUGCCCGAAUUGUAUUUGCAAGACUCUUUAAUCGCAAUAUGGGCGGCAGCGAGUCCGUUGGAAAGCGGCAACACAGAGGGUGAUAUUCCCGCGGGUGUCGGCUGUAUUGCGAUAGGGAGGUCUACGAGUCGGAUUGCUUGGGAAUGCAGUCCCAAGUGGGUGGUACACGCCAUCUAAAGCUAAAUAACGGCAAGAGACCGAUAGCGAACAAGUACCGUGAGGGAAAGAUGAAAAGAACUUUGAAAAGAGAGUUAAACAGUACGUGAAAUUGUUUUAGUGGAACCGAGUGGUGCGCUGUGUGGAUUGUGUGUUUGUUUGUAGAGAGCGUAAGUGGAAGGUGGCAGCCUAGCUGCUUUAUAGCCAUUUGUUGUGAUACGCGCAAAUACACUAUUCUAUAAACGCACCACACGACCCGUCUUGAAACACGGACCAAGGAGUCUAACAACCGUGCGAGUAUUCGAGUGGCAAACUCUGGUGCGCAAGGAAAGUGACGCGUAUGAAUCUCAGAUGCAAUACGGGGCGGAUGCAGGGAACUGUGUUUGCGCAGGAGCACGCGUGUUGGGACCCGAAAGAUGGUGAACUAUGCCUGAAUAGGGCGAGGCCAGAGGAAACUCUGGUGGAGGCUCGUAGACAUUCUGACGUGCAAAUCGAUGUUCGAAUUUGGGUAUAGGGGCGAAAGACUAAUCGAACCAUCUAGUAGCUGGUUCCCUC